RNAcentral lists this transfer RNA (73 nucleotides) under Ailuropoda melanoleuca (giant panda). It matches the Rfam family "tRNA". Rfam says of the family: Transfer RNA (tRNA) molecules are approximately 80 nucleotides in length. Their secondary structure includes four short double-helical elements and three loops (D, anti-codon, and T loops). Further hydrogen bonds mediate the characteristic L-shaped molecular structure. tRNAs have two regions of fundamental functional importance: the anti-codon, which is responsible for specific mRNA codon recognition, and the 3' end, to which the tRNAs corresponding amino acid is attached (by aminoacyl-tRNA synthetases). tRNAs cope with the degeneracy of the genetic code in two manners: having more than one tRNA (with a specific anti-codon) for a particular amino acid; and 'wobble' base-pairing, i.e. permitting non-standard base-pairing at the 3rd anti-codon position. Lineage: Eukaryota; Metazoa; Chordata; Mammalia; Carnivora; Ursidae. The record is from Rfam by way of RNAcentral.
ACCUGGCUGGCUCAGCUGGUAGAGCACGAGACUCUUGAUCUCGGGGUUGUGAGUUCAAGCCCCACACUGGGUG